CCAAGGAUUCCCCCUAGUAACUGCGAGUGAAGCGGGAAAAGCUCAAAUUUAAAAUCUGGCAGUCUCUGGCUGUCCGAGUUGUAAUCUAGAGAAGUAAUGCCCGUGCUGGACCGUGUAUAAGUCUCCUGGGAUGGGGCGUCAUAGAGGGUGAGAAUCCCGUCUUUGACACGGACUACCAGUGCAUUGUGGUAUGCUCUCAAAGAGUCGAGUUGUUUGGGAAUGCAGCUCAAAAUGGGUGGUAAAUUCCAUCUAAAGCUAAAUAUUGGCGAGAGACCGAUAGCGAACAAGUACCGUGAGGGAAAGAUGAAAAGAACUUUGGAAAGAGAGUUAAACAGUACGUGAAAUUGCUGAAAGGGAAACGCUUGAAGUCAGUCGCGUUGGCCGGGAAUCAGCCUUGCUUUUGCAUGGUGUACUUUCUGGUUGACGGGUCAGCAUCAAUUUUGACCGCUGGAAAAAGGCCUGGGGAAUGUGGCAGCUUCGGCUGUGUUAUAGCCCCUAGUCACAUACAGUGGUUGGGAUUGAGGAACUCAGCACGCCGCAAGGCCGGGUUUCGACCACGUUCGUGCUUAGGAUGCUGGCAUAAUGGCUUUAAGCGACCCGUCUUGAAACACGGACCAAGGAGUCUAACAUGCCUGCGAGUAUUUGGGUGGAAAACCCAAGUGCGUAAUGAAAGUGAAAGUUGAGAUCCCUGUCGUGGGGAGCAUCGACGCCCGGACCAGAACUUUUGGGACGGAUCCGCGGUGGAGCAUGUAUGUUGGGACCCGAAAGAUGGUGAACUAUGCCUGAAUAGGGUGAAGCCAGAGGAAACUCUGGUGGAGGCUCGUAGCGAUUCUGACGUGCAAAUCGAUCGUCAAAUUUGGGUAUAGGGGCGAAAGACUAAUCGAACCAUCUAGUAG
Molecule: ribosomal RNA, 896 nt
Filed under: Agaricus cerinupileus
Lineage: Eukaryota; Fungi; Basidiomycota; Agaricomycetes; Agaricales; Agaricaceae
Description: partial 28S ribosomal RNA
Rfam family: Eukaryotic large subunit ribosomal RNA
Source: RNAcentral